GCCCCAGUAGCUCAGCUGGAUAGAGCAACAGCCUUCUAAUCUGUAGCGCGCAGGUUCGAGUCCUGCCUGGGGCG
RNAcentral lists this transfer RNA (74 nucleotides) under Propionibacteriaceae bacterium. Its description in RNAcentral is "tRNA-Arg". It matches the Rfam family "tRNA". Rfam says of the family: Transfer RNA (tRNA) molecules are approximately 80 nucleotides in length. Their secondary structure includes four short double-helical elements and three loops (D, anti-codon, and T loops). Further hydrogen bonds mediate the characteristic L-shaped molecular structure. tRNAs have two regions of fundamental functional importance: the anti-codon, which is responsible for specific mRNA codon recognition, and the 3' end, to which the tRNAs corresponding amino acid is attached (by aminoacyl-tRNA synthetases). tRNAs cope with the degeneracy of the genetic code in two manners: having more than one tRNA (with a specific anti-codon) for a particular amino acid; and 'wobble' base-pairing, i.e. permitting non-standard base-pairing at the 3rd anti-codon position. The record is from RNAcentral. Lineage: Bacteria; Bacillati; Actinomycetota; Actinomycetes; Propionibacteriales; Propionibacteriaceae.